RNAcentral lists this ribosomal RNA (429 nucleotides) under Gemmatimonadota bacterium. Its description in RNAcentral is "Gemmatimonadetes bacterium partial 16S ribosomal RNA". It matches the Rfam family "Bacterial small subunit ribosomal RNA", at positions 355 to 776 of the family's 1533-position model. Lineage: Bacteria; Pseudomonadati; Gemmatimonadota. The record is from RNAcentral.
UAGGGAAUCUUCGGCAAUGGACGAAAGUCUGACCGAGCAACGCCGCGUGAGUGAAGAAGGUUUUCGGAUCGUAAAACUCUGUUGUUAGAGAAGAACAAGGACGUUAGUAACUGAACGUCCCCUGACGGUAUCUAACCAGAAAGCCACGGCUAACUACGUGCCAGCAGCCGCGGUAAUACGUAGGUGGCAAGCGUUGUCCGGAUUUAUUGGGCGUAAAGCGAGCGCAGGCGGUUUCUUAAGUCUGAUGUGAAAGCCCCCGGCUCAACCGGGGAGGGUCAUUGGAAACUGGGAGACUUGAGUGCAGAAGGGGGGAGUGGAAUUCCAUGUGUAGCGGUGAAAUGCGUAGAUAUAUGGAGGAACACCAGUGGCGAAGGCGGCUCUCUGGUCUGUAACUGACGCGGAGGCUAGAAAGCGUGGGGAGCAAACAGG